ACGGGAGGCAGCAGUGGGGAAUAUUGCACAAUGGGGGAAACCCUGAUGCAGCGACGCCGCGUGAGCGAAGAAGUAUUUCGGUAUGUAAAGCUCUAUCAGCAGGGAAGAUAAUGACGGUACCUGACUAAGAAGCCCCGGCUACUACGUGCCAGCAGCCGCGGUAAUACGUAGGUUGCAAGCGUUGUCCGGAUUUACUGGGUGUAAAGGGCGUGUAGGCGGAUCUGCAAGUCAGAUGUGAAAUCCCGGGGCUCAACCCCGGAACUGCAUUUGAAACUGUAGACCUUGAGUAUCGGAGAGGCAAGCGGAAUUCCUAGUGUAGCGGUGAAAUGCGUAGAUAUUAGGAGGAACACCAGUGGCGAAGGCGGCUUGCUGGACGACAACUGACGCUGAGGCGCGAAAGCGUGGGGAGCAAACAGGAUUAGAUACCCUGGUA
RNAcentral lists this ribosomal RNA (433 nucleotides) under uncultured Lachnospiraceae bacterium. RNAcentral's name for it is "bacterial SSU rRNA". It matches the Rfam family "Bacterial small subunit ribosomal RNA", at positions 341 to 792 of the family's 1533-position model. The record is from RNAcentral. Lineage: Bacteria; Bacillati; Bacillota; Clostridia; Lachnospirales; Lachnospiraceae.